Molecule: non-coding RNA, 73 nt
Organism: Phrynosoma platyrhinos (Desert horned lizard)
Lineage: Eukaryota; Metazoa; Chordata; Lepidosauria; Squamata; Phrynosomatidae
Source: the annotation of a GenBank genome assembly
AGCUGCAUGGUACAGUGGUUUGAGUGUUGGACUAGGACUCUGAGAAGUCAUGGUUCAAAUCCUUGCUUAGCCA